This 3445-nucleotide long non-coding RNA is filed under the name Oncorhynchus kisutch (coho salmon). RNAcentral's name for it is "lncRNA (ENSOKIG00005001777.1)". Lineage: Eukaryota; Metazoa; Chordata; Actinopteri; Salmoniformes; Salmonidae. The record is from RNAcentral.
AUGGGUGUUGUUCCCCAGCCUGAAGUUGAAGACGCUGUCCCAUCCACUGACCUCCACUAUGUCGCUUUUGGCCCCAGCCUGCUCUGUGAUGUCAUCCUCUGGGCUCUUGGCUGCACCAGUCUGGGAAUCCAAUAUGGCCACCGUGUCUCCUCUUUUAGCUUCCAGCAAACCACCUACAGGCAAAUGUUACAAUCCAGACUUAACAAACAUGACAACAGAACAAAAAUCAUAUACAUGGAUUUUGUGUGUGUUAUUUGCCUGGUGAUAUGAUAUGACUGUCAUGUUGAUAUACAUAGUAUUGUUUGUUUUUGAAUUUCAUACUAAUUGUAUUGAUAUUGUUUUAGAAAUAAAGUACUCAUAAGGUUUCAUAUGUGUUUAAUAAAAACAUUUGUCAGGUGCAUCACUAUUCCCAUUGAAGAUCUAUUACUGUAUGUAGGCUAUAGGUAUUUCUCUCUUACCUUGCUCCCCCAUCUUUAAUCCACUCAGCAGGUCAAUGCUCUCUGGUCCGUCUUCUAUUGUCUCCUCUUUGACCAGCAGCAGAUCAGGCUUCCCAUCCUCCAUGUCUACUGACUGUAAGAGAUACAGAGUGAGAGGAUGUUGGAUCAAGAAAUCUGAUAUGAGCACCCUGCUAUGGAGCAUCUUCUGAUUGGACAAUGAGGGAUUGCUAUGAGUACUAUGUAAACAUGUUAGUUGACUUGAUUACCUGACACGUAAAUGGUUGGAUAAUUCAAAUGCAGGGUCCCACACUUAAAACAAAAUUAAUCAACAUCUGGGCCUGUAUCCACACAGCCUCAGAGUAAGAGUGCUGAUCAUUCCAUUUAAUCAUAAUUAUGACCUAAAAGGCUAAACUGAUCCUAGAUCAGCACUCCUUCUCUGAGAGGCUUUGUGGAUACGGGCUCAGACCUAAUACCAUUCAGACAGUAGUUCACAGUGGGCUCACCUCAGUGAGACUGUGCGUGGUCCUGUGCUGCUCAGCUGGUUUCUCUGUGGGUUCAGGAGGAGGUGUAGGCUGGUUGUCCUCCAUGACCAUGGUCCCCUCAGGGUUCCCCAGACCCUCCUCACACCCCUCAUCCUUCACAAGCAGCACCUCUGGACCCUCAUCCUGGAAGAGAGGUGAUACAGAUUACAGACAUACACUCCCUCAGGUACGUACACACACACACACACACACAGAUAAUAUAACACUUUCAACAUGGAGUGUUUACCCAUCCCCACUGUUUGUAUGUAUGAAGGAUCCCCAUUAGCUGCUGCCAAGGCAGGUCCUACACUUCCAGGGGUUCAGCACAAUUAAGGCAGUUGUACAAUUUUGAAAACAUUACAAUACAUUUCACAACACAUUAAGCGUGUGCCCUCAGGCCACUACUCUACUACCACAAAUCUACAACACAAAAUAAAUGUUAUCAUGUUUGUGUGUGUGCAUGUGUCUACGUUUAGGUCCUAUACUGUAGUUACAGAAUGACUUCAUUGUUAAACCCAUCAUGGUGGACAAACAGUAAAUAUGGUGUGGGUGAAUAGUCAGCUAUGAUAAGUCAUCAUCCGACAAUACUAAACUAUUUUGAGGUGUACAGUGGGUGUUUGCUAGUGUGUGGUUAUGUGUAGGUAUAUUUAGUAAGUAGUCUGGUUAUAAUGCUCUGUCGUGGGUAUGUAGAAUAGGGUGAAAUCAGGGGCCGUAUCCACAAAGCCUCUCGGAGGAGUGCUGAUGUAGGAUCAGUUUUGCCUUUCAGAUCAUAAUGAAUAAGAUGAUGUAGACAGGUCGGGGCCUGAUCCUCGAUCAGCACUUCUACUCUAAGACUCUUUGUUGAGCCGGUAUCCACAAAAGGCUCUGAGUAAAGUGCUGAGAAUAGAUACAUUACAUUUUACUCCUACUCUAAUGGGUAAAAAUAAAAGCGAUGAAUGAAGCUACUUUAGUCAUAACAGUCCCACCUAGUCGACAGAUAUUUAGGAAACCACACGAGCUGUCCUAACCAGUUAAGAGUUAUCAGCAGGUUUACUGGUGAUGAAGCGAGUCAAUGGUUCCUGUGCCACAUGCAAUUGCUUUGGAGUUGUUCAAAUAAUGUUUGGAUAAUUCUAUAGGAUCAAUCCAUAAAUAAUCUAGACCUACAUGCAACAGUAACUCUUGCGCUUUUGACAAUGAUUUCUCAUGAUAUGCCUAAAUGCUUAUAAAGACUAGACGAAAUAAAUAAACACGUUUUUCUUUCAAUUAUUUAAUUACCUACAUAAUGCUAUUUCAUGUUAUCCCGUCGGAGCGCAACAUCACGUUGUAAAAAGAAAAAGCCUAAAUAAGGGAAUGCUGGUAAAUUGGGCAACUGAAAGCAUCUAAAGCUUAUGUAAACUUUGAUUGUGUCCGAUGAAAAUUCUAGAACUUUCAAACGUAUGCAACAUUAUUGGCAAGUGAUUUGAUAAACGGGAGUUAAAAGUUGUUAAAGGGAAGUGACGAGGGUUGGUAACAGUAUAAUGGUAAUAUUGUCAAAAUUCAGUUAACAAUAAUCAGAAUUUGUAAAAAAAAAAGUUCUUUAUGCCAACAUAUUAGGCUAUAAUUAAGAGAAGGCAACGUGAUCGUGUCAGGAGAAAACUAUAUCAAACGUUUUACCAUCGCAACAUUUGAUGUACAGUCACAUUCACUGUGGAUGUAUGAAGCGUGCUAUACAGUUCACAGCUGGCGAUGCCUCAUUGGUUAUUCCCUAUCUUUUGCAACAAUGUCAAUGAGCGUCAUCACUAUCUUCCCUUUGCAGGAUGUCGUGACUAUCAGUUGAGAUAAACUUUUAUGAGUUGAUUUUACUCCUGGCUCAGAGUUUGCCCGGGCAGUGUCUUCAAAUCAAAUUGUAUUUGUCACAUGCGCGGAAUACAACAGGUAUACAGUGAAAUUCUUACUUUCAAGCCAUUAACCACCAAUGCAUUUUUAAGAAAAAUACGUGUUAAGUCAAAUAUAGUUAAGUAAAAAAUUAAUAAAAGUAACAAAUAAUUAAAGAGCAGCAGUAAAAUAACAAUAGCGAUGCUAUAUACAGGAGGUACUGGUACAGUCAAUGUGUGGGGGCACCGGUUAGAGUUAGUUACUAUGCAUAUAUAAUAAACAAAGAAUAGUAGCAGCUUAAAUGGGGGGUGGGGGGGGGGGGCAAUGCAAGUAGUCUGGGUAGCCAUUUGAUUAGCUGUUCAGGAGGCUUAUGGCUUGGGGGUUGAAGCUGUUGAGAAGCCUUUUGGACCUAGACUUGGUGCUCCGGUACCGCUUACCGUGCGGCAGCAGAGAGAACAGUCUAUGACAAUUUUUAGGGCCUUCCUCUGACACCGCCUGGUAUAGGGGUCCUACAUGGCAGGAAGCUUGGCCCCAGUGAUGUACUGGGCCGUACGCAAUCUCUCUGUAGAGCAUUGCCGUCAGAGGCCAAGCAGUUGCCAUACCAGGCAGUGAUGCAACCCGUCAGGAUGCUCUCGAUGGUGCAGCUGUAGAACU